This 393-nucleotide ribosomal RNA is filed under the name Triticum aestivum (bread wheat). Its description in RNAcentral is "partial small subunit ribosomal RNA". The record is from RNAcentral. Lineage: Eukaryota; Viridiplantae; Streptophyta; Magnoliopsida; Poales; Poaceae.
AUGGCUGCCUUGACGGUUGUUGGUAUGGAUCAGGUGCCGGGGCCGGCCGCGAGUGCAGACGCACAGAUCUGCUCGAGCGUGGUGUGGUUGGCAGAAGGAAGAACUCGUCGCCGCCCUCGCAGGUCUCCACGGGAAGGCCAGCCCACAAGCUCCUCGGUGGUUAAAGAGGCUGAGGAACUUUCUGCAGAACGGCUGCUUCUUCAGUGCCCAAGCUUGAAAGAUGUUCAUGUCUAUCGAUGUUGUGAUAUGUUGAUCGGAGCAAUCAGAAACGAGGUGAGUCUGUUCUUCCCCAACGCGGCCGUCAUUUUGGAACUUCAGAAGCAAGGGAGGGAGUGGACGAACACACGACCGAAAGCGAUGGAUUUCCUCCUCCAAUCAGGAGAUCUACUCUGA